RNAcentral lists this ribosomal RNA (253 nucleotides) under uncultured bacterium. RNAcentral describes it as "partial 16S ribosomal RNA". It matches the Rfam family "Bacterial small subunit ribosomal RNA", at positions 526 to 779 of the family's 1533-position model. The record is from RNAcentral.
CGGAGGGUGCGAGCGUUAUCCGGAUUUACUGGGUUUAAAGGGUGUGUAGGCGGACUGUUAAGUCAGUGGUGAAAUCCCGGGGCUCAACCCCGGAACUGCCAUUGAUACUAUCAGUCUUGAAUACUGUGGAGGUGAGCGGAAUGUGUCAUGUAGCGGUGAAAUGCUUAGAGAUGACACAGAACACCGAUUGCGAAGGCAGCUCACUACGCAGUGAUUGACGCUGAGGCACGAAAGCGUGGGAUCAAACAGGAUU